This is a long non-coding RNA of Zonotrichia albicollis (white-throated sparrow), 962 nucleotides long. The record is from Ensembl. Lineage: Eukaryota; Metazoa; Chordata; Aves; Passeriformes; Passerellidae.
AGCAUGGGCUCAGGAUUCACCUGCAAGUGAGGGUGUCAGACCCAGGGAAAUGGAGCAGCCUCUUACACCAGUAUUGAUCUGGAGCAACAGGUUCCUUCAGAAAUGUCUGUAAGUCAGAGCUGCCCGAGAACAUUGCAGAGCUGAGGCUUCCAAAAGCUUCAAAAUCUGUUUAUAAAUUACAUAAAUCUCUUUAUAAAUUUAUAAAUCAUAAAUGUAUGAAUUUACAGGGGUUUCCUGUAAAUUUAACUGACCUUUUUUUUCUUUAAAAUUAGGGGAUGUUCACAAGGCUGUGCACAAAAUAAGUCUGAAAAUUGUGGCUACUUCAAAUGAAAGUACAUGGAGAUAAUGUCUCAGUGUGGAGGUGGUGCCCUGAACACUGUUCUGGACAGUUCCUGCUCUCUCUCCAUGGAGGAUUUUGGCUGCUGUGCUUAAGAGCAAGUGGAGCUGCUUUGCUGCUUCAUUCCAAGUUUUCAUAUGACAAUGAAAAAAUGUUUUGGAUGAUCACAUUCUCUGGUGGGGCCUUUCCCUCAUUUGUGUUGUUAACCAACAUUAAGAUCUGCAUUUUCAUGCCAGCAAAGUCUCCACAGGUACUGCCAAAGUUCCAAAUUGAGGCAGACUUGAGACCCAACUUCCCUGAAAUGAGCCAUGACAAAAAGUUAACAGGAUCCAGCCACUCUGCUCUGAAAUACCUCAUCUGGGCUGAUUUCACAAAGCUGAAGGAGGGCAUAAUUCAGUCCUGUGGGUUGUGGUGGCCUUGGCUGUCAGAGUGUGGGGGUUUGCUGGCAAUAAUUUCUGUUCCAAGCCAAAAAAAGCACUCACGGAAGGAGGAGGCUGCACCCUGAAAUCUCCUGAGAUCUACAUGUGCCAGGGCCAGUGCUGGUGUGUGAAGAACCAUCCUCAGUGUCUGAAGAGGGCACAGGGACACUCUCACCACUAAUAAAGGGUUCUUUGGAAACCUCUCA